Molecule: long non-coding RNA, 341 nt
Filed under: Helianthus annuus (common sunflower)
Lineage: Eukaryota; Viridiplantae; Streptophyta; Magnoliopsida; Asterales; Asteraceae
Description: sRNA HanXRQr2_Chr02g0066261
Source: RNAcentral
CUCUCUCUCUCUCUCUCUCUCAUAAAAACCCUAAUUCUCCAUUUCUUUCGAUCAUCUCCCCUUUCUCUUCACAAACCCUAAUAUUCUCUGCUGAUCAAUGGCUAUUUUCAUGAAAUCCUAAGUCUCAACGGAUCGAUCCAUGAAAUGCCAUUCUUCCCAUUUCCAUCUAUUUCUAACGAAACCCUAGCUGCGAUGCGAUGAGAUGAAGAUCAUAAUCAAAUCCAACCGAUCAGUUUUCUGAUACAAGAAACUAAAGGAUGGCGAGAUGGUGUGAAACAGAUCUGGAUGUUUUCGGGCCACUGGAUGUUACUGCAUGUAUUUUUUUUCCCCCCAUGAUGUAA